This is a long non-coding RNA of Capsicum annuum, 468 nucleotides long. RefSeq lists it as uncharacterized. The transcript is spliced from 4 exons. NCBI's taxonomy places the organism in Eukaryota, Viridiplantae, Streptophyta, Magnoliopsida, Solanales, Solanaceae. The record is from RefSeq and is a predicted model, not a curated record.
UCAAAAACCUUUGGUAAUUGAUAGGAGGCGGAUGAGAUUCCCAAAAUCUCAAGUCAAAUUAAAGUGGCUCAUCAACUUACACUUACUCAAGAUAAUUCUUAAACCAGAGACGGUCUAAGAAGGGAAGAUUUCCAUUUACAAUUUGAUCUAAUUCCAUAGUUGUAAGAAGUUAUGGAAGAAUUCCAUUGAAGAUCAAACCAUACUUUUUCCUUUCCUAUGGUAAAAUCUGAAGAAGUAUCAGGCUCUCAACAUGCCAAAGUCCACAACUUAGGAAAAACUUCUUGAACCUGUAUCUAAGAAGACUAAAGGUGUCCUAAAUGAAGAAGGGGAUCUUGAAGAAAGAAGUGAUGAAGACAUUGACCGGAGAAGAUUUUUGACUUAAUGAUGUAGAUGCUUUAUUAUUGAUCGUUUUGAUAUAGAGUUUCUUCAAACUUAUCGGCCUUCGAACGUGAUACUAUGCAUGGAAAA